This is a long non-coding RNA of Rhinopithecus roxellana (golden snub-nosed monkey), 1018 nucleotides long. RefSeq lists it as uncharacterized. NCBI's taxonomy places the organism in Eukaryota, Metazoa, Chordata, Mammalia, Primates, Cercopithecidae. The transcript has 4 exons. The record is from RefSeq and is a predicted model, not a curated record.
UGCCUACACAUACUGCCAAAAGUGGGGUUAAAAAAUAAGGAGCCUGUUGGCAGUACAAGAAGAGUGGUCCUAUUGGCUGUUCCUCACCUGGCAACUCUUAAAAUUUACCCAGAAGAACAUGACAUUACUACACAGAUUAAAGACAAUAGAGAACAUCAAUUGGAAGAGCCCAUUAGCAUGACAGAGCUAUCAUUUCAAAAGCCUUCUAAUGGGCACCACUGGACGAUAACAUGUGAUGUGGAGUCUGCAGAAAGACUGGCACAAGGGAGAGCGACACUUGAAUACGUGGUGAGAUGUGUGAAGGGCAUGACAAUGGAUGCAAACACCCUGGUCUUACUCUUCCAGAAGAAAAAGGGAAAACCGAACCUGAAUGUCCCCUGAAAGUGAAGAAAUGUCCAUACUUCUAUUUGCAGAUUGACCUUUGGAAUCUACAUUCAACAUUUGAUACUGUAUGUGACUCCUGAUGAACACGCUGAAGAUACAUGAUGUCCAGUAAUUUUUACUGGGGAUAAUACCUACAACAUACAUAAGAUUAUGUUAUUAAAAUGCAUUUAAAAUUACACAAGACAUUUUAAAAUUACUUAAGAUAAUAUAUAUAAAGAGUUUAACAUAAAUUUCAAUCACCUUGGCUUAAGAUGAUUUAACUGUUUUGUAAGUUAACCAAGACCUACCAUUUACUUCUUAUUUAGUCUGUGGCUGAAUUUGGCAUUUUUGAAAAUCUUUUGAUAUCCUCUGAGAACUUAUUAUUAUUUGUACUAAUUUACUUCCUAAUGAAAGCUAUUAACAAGAUUUAUUUUAGGAAGUUUAUGUCAGAUAGGUUUAUGUCCUUAUAGAGCUUACAAUCUUAAUUUCAAAGAUGAAAAGGAAAGUUGUGUGUGAAACAGCACAGAAUACUUUGCAACUUGUCCCAGGAGUUACAGGGAGCAGCAUGGACUGUGAAAACUCACAUAAAGUUCUUCAAAAUUUACUGUUUCUUUUGCUUCCUGAAAAUUGUAAUCAGUUCCUCUUUUCCUACUUA